RNAcentral lists this long non-coding RNA (1178 nucleotides) under Durio zibethinus. Its description in RNAcentral is "long non-coding RNA (DZIB_LNC002340)". The record is from RNAcentral. Lineage: Eukaryota; Viridiplantae; Streptophyta; Magnoliopsida; Malvales; Malvaceae.
CUUUUAAAUUUUUUUUAACAAUCAUCGUGAAACCCAUGAAUCUCCCAUCAUACUUGACCUAAUCAAAUCGUAUCCUCGAAUCUACCUCCACCAUAAAACCCAUAGAUUUCUAAUAAAACCAUCAUAAUCUUGAAUCGACUCUAUCAUUUUGAAUCUUUUUUCACCUUUUCUUUAUAUCAAAAUCUCUACAUCAGCACCUCUUCCAUAUUCUUGCUCAUAACAAACCAUAAGAAACUCCAAAUCCUCAUCAUCAACCACCAUUAAUCUUUCUUUUGCUUUUCAUUUUUAGCUUCCAAAGCAACCUAUAAAAAGGUAUUCGAAGCUACAUCACCUAGUCAUGCUUUAGGUUUUUAUCAAUUAGAAAUGGGCAUCAUGAAUUGUUAUGAAUUUUUUUGGAUUUUAGUUUGAAUUUUGAUGAAUUUCAUGGGUUUGAGUUUUGAUUUGAUGAAUUUAUAUGGAUAUUAUAUUGAUGAAUUUGUUGUUAAAAUCAUGAAAAAUUUUGAUGAAAGAUUGCUAUUAAAAUAUGUAAUAUUCAUGAAAAACAAACGAAAAAUGUUAAAAUUGUAAAAAAGAUAUUGAUAAAUAUUGAUAGAAAACAUUUUCGGUCAUAGUAUCCAAACAUCGCAAAAUAUCUUUCAUAAAACUCUCUAAAUACUUAAAAACAUUUUAUUUUCCAUAAAAGGUUUUUCAUGGAAAGUAACUUUUUUUAUAAAGUUAUUUUUCGGAUACCAAACAAAGCCUAAGAUUAAAACAUAAUAUUUGUUGAAAACAUGAAAAAAUAUAUUUUUCAAAAUUCAACAAAAAUAAUGUUUCUAAGAUUAAAAAUGCAAUCUUUGUUGAAAAUAUGAAAAAAUAUAGUUUUCAUAAUUCAAUAAAAAUGAUUUUUCUAAGAUAAAAACUUAUCAUUUGUUGAAAAGACGAUGUUUCUAUAAUAAAAUGCAGUUUUUGUUAAAAAUAUAAAAAAUAUAUAGUUUUCAAAAUCAAAUAAAUGCAAUAUUUCUAAGAUUAAAAAGUAAUUUUUGUUAAAAACAUUAAAAUAUAUAUUUUUUGAAUUCAAUAAAGAUGACAUUUCUAAUAUAAAAACGUAAUUUUUAUUAAAAAGAUAAAUUUUCUAAUAUAAAAACUACAGUCUUUAUUAAAAAUAUAAAAAAAUAAAAAUGUAACAUAUUUGUUGAUCU